GAUGGACGCUAGCGGGAGGCCUAACACAUGCAAGCCGAGCGGUAUUUCUUCUUCGGAGGAGAGAGAGCGGCGCACGGGUGCGUAACACGUGUGCAACCUACCUUUAUCUGGGGGAUAGCCUUUCGAAAGGAAGAUUAACACCCCAUAAUAUAUUGAAUGGCAUCACUUGAUAUUGAAAACUCCGGUGGAUAAAGAUGGGCACGCGCAAGAUUAGAUAGUUGGUGAGGUAACGGCUCACCAAGUCAAUGAUCUUUAGGGGUCCUGAGAGGGAGAUCCCCCACACUGGUACUGAGACACGGACCAGACUCCUACGGGAGGCUGCAGUGAGGAAUAUUGGACAAUGGGUGAAAGCCUGAUCCAGCCAUCCCGCGUGAAGGAUGACGGUCCUAUGGAUUGUAAACUUCUUUUGUACAGGAAUAAACCUACUCUCGUGAGAGUAGCUGAAGGUACUGUACGAAUAAGCACCGGCUAACUCCGUGCCAGCAGCCGCCGUAA
RNAcentral lists this ribosomal RNA (495 nucleotides) under uncultured bacterium. RNAcentral describes it as "partial 16S ribosomal RNA". It matches the Rfam family "Bacterial small subunit ribosomal RNA", at positions 28 to 523 of the family's 1533-position model. The record is from RNAcentral.